This is a long non-coding RNA of Apus apus (common swift), 1456 nucleotides long. RefSeq lists it as uncharacterized. The transcript has 2 exons. Lineage: Eukaryota; Metazoa; Chordata; Aves; Apodiformes; Apodidae. The record is from RefSeq and is a predicted model, not a curated record.
AGGGGGGCAAAUCUAGGAGGCGACCCCGCAUCGGAUGCCCGUCCCGGCGGCGCGCGGCGGACGGCGGGGUUCGUGCUCUGGAGAGCCCAGCCGCGCGGACUGAGCGUGUCUGCCGCGUCGCUGUGCGCAGCAAUAGGUGAUGGGGAUGCGGAGAUAUUUUAUUAUUUAGCGACAGCUAAGGGAGAGCUUUUAGGAUGCUGUGGGGCUGGCUGGUUCCUCGCGUCUCUAAAAUUCCCAUUUGCCUCGGGCUACGACCUGUUAUUUGACCUUUAGACACCCCCGAAGAUAGCAGAGUUUUCCUUUUUCAAAACAGUGCUAAAGCCAAGCGCUGGGAUGGCUGCGCGGAGCGGGGCGGCCGGGGCGCGCUCAGCCCUCACGUGGGCGCGGGAGCUUCGGGCGGGGUGAGCCUGGGGUGACACGCGUUCAUUUUUAUUUCAGUUGAAGACAUUUGAUGGUUGUAGGUCUUUCUCUGGUUUGUUGCAUCACCACAGCUCACCCCUUAAAACAGUAAUUCAAGAUGUAAGUAAAAGUGUUUUCAUUUUUAUUGAUCCUGCUAACAUCUUUCAUUACCCAACACGUAACCACAACAAAUGAUUGCUCAUUUGAUACGGAGAAUUUUAUCGACGCUCUCUCCGGUCGGGGCGCGAAUCCUAAAUCCCGGCGGCGUUAGGCGCGGAGAGAGGCGCGGUGCAGCGCGGCUGCGGAGAGGGGCAAACGCUGCCCGAGCCCCUCGGGGCCCUGCCUGGCCGCAGCUCCCUGCCCUCCGGGUGCCCGCCGACGGGGCCCGGGCCGCCUUCCACCGGCGCUCCCUUCCCGAAAAGCGGGGAGCGGCUCCGGGGGGCACGGCAGAGCAUCUCCCGCGGGCGCCGGGCCCGACGGGGCGCGCCGGGCCGGGCUCGGGGCCGCGGCAGGAGGGGGGAGUGCGCGACCCCUGCCCGCCGAUUUCGUUCCCUCACAACGAAACCCAACAAGUAGCGGGAGGCGAAACGGCCGCGUUUUCCCGGCCCCGCCUCGGGAAAGGCCGGCUGCCUUCUCCCUCUUUUUUUUCCUUUUCCCCCCCUUUAUUCCAAUAUGCUAAAUGAAUAAAAUUUAAAGGGAAAAAAAUAUAGCAUUUUGCUAAAAAAAAAAAUAAUUAAUCAAACCGUUGGGGUUCAUAGAGGAUUCCAAACGAUUUGAAACAGCAGACCCUGUUCCAUUUACAAGAUCCCUUUCAGUUUACAGUGCGAAAGGUUUUUCAACUAUCAAACAAAUGCUACUGAUUUAAGGCUCUUUGAGAAUAUUGCUUUUGUCCUUAAUGCUAGAGUAGAAGGCAAGUUUAUGAGGGAGAGGCUCGAAUAAUUGGUUUCGAUGCAAGAGACCUACAGUAAAAUUAAACUAGGUGGAUUCUUUAUUAAAUGAUUUUCGGUCUUCUGUGUUUUUAUGAAAAUAAAAGGGAGCACUUUGUCAUUUUUAACAA